UUUCGCUACUUGUACUCUUUGUA
This 23-nucleotide non-coding RNA is filed under the name Arabidopsis thaliana (thale cress). The record is from RNAcentral. Lineage: Eukaryota; Viridiplantae; Streptophyta; Magnoliopsida; Brassicales; Brassicaceae.